This 253-nucleotide ribosomal RNA is filed under the name uncultured bacterium. RNAcentral's name for it is "partial 16S ribosomal RNA". It matches the Rfam family "Bacterial small subunit ribosomal RNA", at positions 524 to 776 of the family's 1533-position model. The record is from RNAcentral.
UACGGGGGGGGCAAGCGUUGUUCGGAAUUACUGGGCGUAAAGGGUUCGUAGGCGGCCAACUAAGUCAGACGUGAAAUCCCUCGGCUUAACCGGGGAACUGCAUCUGAUACUGGAUGGCUUGAGAUUGGGAGAGGGAUGCGGAAUUCCAGGUGUAGCGGUGAAAUGCGUAGAUAUCUGGAGGAACACCGGUGGCGAAGGCGGCAUCCUGGACCAACACUGACGCUGAGGAGCGAAAGCCAGGGGAGCAAACGGG